Non-coding RNA from Oryza nivara, 195 nucleotides. Lineage: Eukaryota; Viridiplantae; Streptophyta; Magnoliopsida; Poales; Poaceae. The record is from Rfam.
AAAAAGACAAGCCCUAGGUUUCCGUGUCCAACGUUUGACUGUCCGUCUUAUAUGAAAUUUUUUAUAAUUAGUAUUUUCAUUGAUGUUAGAUGAUAAAACAUGAUUAAUACUUUAUGCGUGACUUGUCUUUUUUAAUUUUUUUAAAUAAGAUGGACGGUCAAACGUUGGAUACAGAAAUCAGUGUUUUUUUUUACG